This 449-nucleotide ribosomal RNA is filed under the name uncultured bacterium. Its description in RNAcentral is "bacterial SSU rRNA". It matches the Rfam family "Bacterial small subunit ribosomal RNA", at positions 328 to 793 of the family's 1533-position model. The record is from RNAcentral.
GACGACGACUCCUACGGGAGGCAGCAGUGGGGAAUCUUAGACAAUGGGCGCAAGCCUGAUCUAGCCAUGCCGCGUGAGUGAUGAAGGCCCUAGGGUCGUAAAGCUCUUUCGCCUGUGAAGAUAAUGACUGUAGCAGGUAAAGAAACCCCGGCUAACUCCGUGCCAGCAGCCGCGGUAAUACGGAGGGGUUAGCGUUGUUCGGAAUUACUGGGCGUAAAGCGCGCGUAGGCGGAUUAGUCAGUCAGAGGUGAAAUCCCCAGGGCUCAACCCCUGGAACUGCCUUUGAUACUGCUAGUCUUGAGUUCGAGAGAGGUGAGUGGAAUUCCGAGUGUAGAGGUGAAAUUCGUAGAUAUUCGGAGGAACACCAGUGGCGAAGGCGGCUCACUGGCUCGAUACUGACGCUGAGGUGCGAAAGUGUGGGGAGCAAACAGGAUUAGAUACCCUGGUAG